UAAAUUCAUUUUGUUUAUUCAUAUACAUUAUAUAUAGUUAUACUGUGAAAUAAUAAAGUAUAGAUCAAUAGAUAUAGAUCUACAGAUAUAGACAUAUACCUACCCCCAGUUCCUGGCACAGAGCUCCUAAAACCCUUGAAAUUUCCUAAGUGAUAAGAACACUAGCAGCAUUUAUUAUUCUAACGAGGCAAUUCUUGGUGGGCUCCUGGAUAACUUCAGGAUGGGUGCUGCUCAUCAGAAAGAUCAAGCUAUCAAUAGAAGCUUGGAACUUUCAGCCCCUCCCCCAUCCUCUGAGAAGUAGAGAGCAGCUGGAAAUUGAGUGAAUGAUUGGUCACACCUGCAUGAUGAAGCCUUCAAAAAAUUUCCAAAGUUCCGGGCGUUGAGAACUUCAGGGUGAGCUGCCACCACAGCGUGACCACUAAGAGAUGAGCGGUGUAGGUCCACACCCAGGAACUGGACCUGGGCUGCAGAAGCGGAGCGUGCCGAACUUAACCACUAGGCCACCGGGGCUUGCCCUAUUCAGGUUUCUAAUCAAUGCAGACAGUAUAACUUUCUCUUUAUUUAGGUCUUCUUCAACAAUGUUUUGUGGUUUUCAGUGUUCGGGUCAUAUACAUACUUCAUCAGAUUUAGUCCUAAGUAUUUGAGAUUCUUUAAGGCUAUCAUAAACGGUGCUGAUUGUUUAAUUUUGAUUUCCAAUUGUCUGUUGCUGUUGCAUUUUAAUAUGAUUUAUUUUUGUAUGUUGAUUUUAUAUCCUGCAGCCUCACUAAACACACUUGUUAGUUCUUACAGUAUUUUUUGUAGAUUCCAUUGAAUUUUCAACAUAGAUGAUCAUGUUAUCUUAUGACAGUUUUACUUCUUUUUCAAUUUAGAUACCUGUUGACGACACAAAGACAGACACGCAUGGAGGGAAGACGCUGUGAAGAUAUAGGGCAAACACAUCUACAAGCCAAGGAAUGCCUGAAGCUACCUGUAGCUAGGAGAGAGGCAUGGAGCAGCUUCUCCCUCACAGCCCUCAGGAGGAACGAAUGCUGCUGACACCUUGAUUUCAUACUUCCAGCCUCCAGAACAGUGAGACAAUAAAUUUCCAUUGUUUAAGUCACCCAGCUUGUAGUUCUUUGUUCUGGCAGCCCCAGGAAACUAAUACCCUCUAUCGGGUUGAGAAGUUCUUUUAUAUCCCCACUUUUCUGCAAGAUUUGUCAAGAAUGGAUGUUGGAAUUUGGCAAAUGCUUAUUCCCUAUCUAUUAAGUUGAGCAUAUGGUUUUCUUUAUAUUUUGACAAUCUGUUUAAUUGUAUUAACUGAUUUUUAAAUGUUAACCCAACACCGUAUUCCUAGGGUAAAUGUCACUUGGUCAUGAUGUAUUUUCCGUUUUAUGUAUUAUUGAAAUAAAUUUGCCAAAAUUGUGUUUACUAGGUAUGUGGUAUGUUGCAUAAUUCUGAAUUAGCUCAACAUUUUUAUAAGAACUGCAGGAGAUAAGUUGCUAAUUCAGAAAUUUGUUUGUAUGGCUGAAAUGUUAUUAAUGUCUGUGCAUGUGUCAGCAUCUAUAUGCUUGUAGAAAGGAUUGGCAGGUGUGCAGGUCUGGCAGUGCUAUCCCUGUCCGUAACACAGUCUGACCCCUGG
RNAcentral lists this long non-coding RNA (1618 nucleotides) under Equus caballus (horse). RNAcentral's name for it is "lncRNA (ENSECAG00000044788.1)". Lineage: Eukaryota; Metazoa; Chordata; Mammalia; Perissodactyla; Equidae. The record is from RNAcentral.